Pelobates cultripes (western spadefoot toad) is the source of this 301-nucleotide non-coding RNA. The record is from the annotation of a GenBank genome assembly. Lineage: Eukaryota; Metazoa; Chordata; Amphibia; Anura; Pelobatidae.
AAAACAUAACGUAUCAAUAAACUUUUAAAUCAUUGAGGAGAUCCCUCUGGACUCCAAUUCUGGGGCAUCCAAAAGAUAGAAACCCAUUGGAGAGGGAUGUCUGGAAUCGGCGUUGAGCCGAGUGUUGAGUGUAUGUGUGCAUGUAGGAGUGUAUUUGUAUGUACAGAGAAGAGAAACUCGACGGGAGUUUGUUAAUCAUGAAAGGCCAUCUACCCCACAGAGAAAGGAGGUUCAUUAGAAAUUAGAAAUUUGGGAGAGAAUGUAGAAAAAUCUUUUUUAGAGAGAAUUUGGAGAGGACCAC